CCUACGGGUGGCUGCAGUGAGGAAUAUUGGUCAAUGGGCGCGAGCCUGAACCAGCCAAGUCGCGUGAGGGAAGACGGUCCUAUGGAUUGUAAACCUCUUUUGUCGGGGAGCAAAAGCCGCCACGCGUGGCGUUCCGAGAGUACCCGAAGAACAAGCAUCGGCUAACUCCGUGCCAGCAGCCGCGGUAAUACGGAGGAUGCGAGCGUUAUCCGGAUGUAUUGGGUUUAAAGGGUGCGCAGGCGGAAGAUCAAGUCAGCGGUAAAAGUGAGAGGCUCAACCUCUUCGAGCCGUUGAAACUGGUGUUCUUGAGUGAGUGAGAAGUAUGCGGAAUGCGUGGUGUAGCGGUGAAAUGCAUAGAUAUCACGCAGAACUCCGAUUGCGAAGGCAGCAUACCGGCGCUCAACUGACGCUCAUGCACGAAAGUGUGGGUAUCGAACAGGAUUAGAUACCCUUGUAGUC
This 459-nucleotide ribosomal RNA is filed under the name uncultured bacterium. RNAcentral's name for it is "partial 16S ribosomal RNA". It matches the Rfam family "Bacterial small subunit ribosomal RNA", at positions 338 to 795 of the family's 1533-position model. The record is from RNAcentral.